Molecule: long non-coding RNA, 412 nt
Filed under: Citrus sinensis (sweet orange)
Lineage: Eukaryota; Viridiplantae; Streptophyta; Magnoliopsida; Sapindales; Rutaceae
Description: long non-coding RNA (CSIN_LNC002359)
Source: RNAcentral
UACGUGAGAUUGGCUAUGUCGAAUUAGAUCUACCAGAACCUCCUGAGAAUGCAUCCCGUCCUCCUCCACAGCCAGUUGAUCCUUACACAAGGUAUGGGCCAAAAGCAGAGAUAACCCACAUUUUCAGAGCACCAGAAAAGCGUCCUCCUGAGGAGCUGUCUCUUGCUUUCUUGGUUCUGACUAUUUUGCCACUUUUUGGAUUCAUAAUUGGGGUGAGUCAUGUGUAACUGUUUGUUUCUGUAUUUUUAUUGAACCAAAAUCUUUCUGAAUUCCAAUUCUUUUUCUGGCCGUAGCUGAUAUAUGUAACAUCCUUUGAUAUUUUACAGCUAUUACGAUUAGGGGUGAACCUGAAGAACUUCCCUACUUCAGCUGUACCUGCCACAUUUGCUGUCAUUUUCCAUUUAGGAAUUGC